RNAcentral lists this ribosomal RNA (253 nucleotides) under uncultured bacterium. RNAcentral describes it as "partial 16S ribosomal RNA". It matches the Rfam family "Bacterial small subunit ribosomal RNA", at positions 524 to 776 of the family's 1533-position model. The record is from RNAcentral.
GACGUAGGGCGCGAGCGUUGUCCGGAUUUAUUGGGCGUAAAGAGCUCGUAGGCGGCUUGUUGCGUCGACCGUGAAAACCCGCGGCUUAACUGCGGGCUUGCGGUUGAUACGGGCGGGCUGGAGUUCGGUAGGGGAGACUGGAAUUCCUGGUGUAGCGGUGAAAUGCGCAGAUAUCGGGAGGAACACCAAUUGCGGAGGCAGCUCGCUGGGACGUUACUGACGCUGAGACGCGAAAGCGUGGGGAGCAAACGGG